RNAcentral lists this long non-coding RNA (2853 nucleotides) under Varroa destructor (honeybee mite). RNAcentral describes it as "uncharacterized LOC111243963". The record is from RNAcentral. Lineage: Eukaryota; Metazoa; Arthropoda; Arachnida; Mesostigmata; Varroidae.
UCUGGGUGCUAUAGCUGGGUAGACAGGGCUUUGGUUGCCGACGGUAGUUUCGCUGGUCGUUAGCUAGGCUCUCAGCUGUUCCAAGAGUAAGUUUUUUGAGGGUAGGAUUUUUACGUUCUCGUCGUCCCGUCCGUCCUGUCGACACUCGUGGCAGCACUGUUCGUCUAGUAGAAUGUAUUCUCUAGCAUUCGCUGUAUCCUCUUUCUACCUAAAAUUGCCAGUGUAAUACUCCUUGUUGGCAAACGGGCUACUCGCAACCCGACCUAGCUUAGGCAGCUAACACUGACAUAUCAUAACUCACUAAACACCAUAGGCGCGCUUCUAUUUCGCGGUUUUUUUCUUUUGCAGAAAAAGGUGUCUUGCCACAAGGCUGCAGGCCGAAAAACGUUAGAUGCUGUACACAGACACUAAAUCCAGGAUACAAUGUAGUGACGACGCGAGUAUGGAGAUCCACGGUACCACGGUGAAAGGUGCAUCUGACUCAGUCCGAUAGAGGAAUCCCCAGUAGUCGGUGAGAAAGAAGUACACAAUAUUAGACCUGCGUUACAAAACAGCAUGAAACCCACGGAUUAUAAUGACCUAGAGACACAUUCACUGCUUUCUAGUGGUGUCAAGCUCCUUGCACUUACUGACGCACUUUUAAUUAGUGGUUGAGACGGCACUCGUCAGAUAACACAAUGUUCGCGCACUCAGGCACAAAUACUGCGUCCUGUAAUCGGAUGGGGUAGCAAAACCACCGCUGUUUCGUACUGAUGUUCCUCUCUUCUUUAAAAAGAGAACUCGGUAUUUUCAAUACUUUUCUCCGGCGACGAUGAGCUUAGUCAGGCGACUUCUUUCUAGAAAUGAUGCCGAAACCUGCGCGAACCACUGCAUAGUCCCCGUAGUUCGCUUUAACGAGGGGCAGAUUCCGCAAUGGACUUCUUGCACGGUCUACCUUCUAUCUUAGUCCGAAAAGGCAACGAUGGUCUUCAGCAGAUACUCUGCCCUACACGGCCAAUUUUAGAGGUACGACGCUGGUAACGUGGGAUAACACAAUGCAACGACAAUUUGCGAGCCAGGUGCUCCCGUCGAAAGCACAUACCCAAUUCGUGCAGCGAUUCAUAUAAGGUGAUUUCAACAUGUUGGUUAUUAGAGUCUAUACGAAUUAUAUUUCAAUGUGAUAUCCAUGGCCAUACUGCCGACGUCGCUCUCACGUUACCACGGCGUAGCAGUUAUCGGGGAGCAAGGAUUCCGUUAUCGUUUCCCCUGACACAUCCCUCUACUUUUAGAGGCGUAACACCAGCUUAAGCGUAACCUAAUGUAAUAAUUGUAUCUUCUAAUCGAUGACACGCGCAGCGCACACGGCUCAUUAACCCUGUCUGGUAUAUACUUGCGUGGUCGCUUUAGCUUUACUAACUAACCGUCUUUUUUUGUUUCUACCCGCUCUGGUACUAGAUAGUACGGUCGAGCCUCAGUGUUCCCUCUCGACAAUAUCAUUGCUGAUUAUGCUUGUCAUCGCCGUCAUCGACAAUCACGGCUACUACAAGUCUUCGAACUCGGUCGAUACGAAUUCGUGCAUUCGCUAAAUGCGUUCCACAUAGCUCAGGUCACAUGAACCGCGUAUCUUUGGCCGGCAACGAAACUGCGUGCCUGGCACUUAGGAGGCCAGGCACACGUCCUCGAUCCGCAGGCCGGCCACGGUGCCCCGUUGAACGUCACCACCACACCGUCGCUUACUAGCAGCAUUCAGAUAGCAACGGCUUCACGUCACGCCGUCCUCUUGCUGGCGUCGCGUCAGAUUGCCAAGGCCAUGCUCACAGCGCGUUGAGAAUUACCACUAGCCAUCGUCGCUCAGUUGUUCUUGAUGUUUUUUUAACGGAAGGAUCUACUCACUAACACCCGAUGCUUGCUUCCUUUCGAUUCACGCGCAUCUCCUGCUGCUGGGGGCUCGGGUGGUUCGGCUGUUCGGUGAGUGAACACCAGUCAGAGCAUCGUAGGGGGCGCUGAAGUUAUCCGGAGUGGUGGUGCAAGCAGACGAUAUGCAAGAAUACCGAUGAGGAAGCUGCAAGCGCAGAUACCUGAUGCAGCUGUACACAGCGAUACAGCAAGUCUCCGUCGUUGCUCGAAGCCUAGGAGCAAGCAAGCACCGUCGAGCGCCAAGCGCAGAGCAUCGUCGAGUCGAGGGUUGGCCACCCUUGCUAUGGCCAGUGGCAGCAGCAGCGAUCUAGUGCCCUGGACCAAGCCCGCAUUGGGCCCGCCAGGAGGAGCCACCUGCUCCUUGUUGGAUUUGAGAAGAGGCGCGAUUUAGACAGCGUGGUGCCUUGCUGCUUGGUUAUUCUCCAUGCUGAUACAAGCGAGCUAAGCGGGCAUCCGUUCGCACUUAGAGAUGCGACUGACAUAUUGCAGUGAAUAGAUAAAAGAUCUCGCUUGCGCUCUAAAAGAAUGCAACUGUGUCGACACAUCGCAUUAGGACAACCCGAUAACUUAGGACCGAACUGACUUGUCGAUCUGUGGCGGUGUCUGUGGCAGACGUGGUGGAUCUGAGAAGAAGUUAACACCCGAAGCUUGGUGAUAAAACAACCUUCAGAAGCCGGCCAAGUCGACGCAUUAAUAAGGAAUUAGGCACGCCUUCGUAAGUACAAAGCCGCUUUAUUAAAUCUACUCAAAAUUCAUCCAUCCGUCGAAAUGGAUCGUUAGCAAGCAAUAGGUUGACAUGGCACUAAUUCUCUGGACGAGAUCACAGAACUUGGGAAUUGAAACUUCCCAUAGCAGAGGACGACAAAUAUUUUAGCACACAGGGCCUCUUUGACACUAUCAUCAACACCAAAGUCGACAACGAUCUCGAGUAUCUUUUUGUGCUGGGCCCCCACCCAC